GGAGGGUGCAAGCGUUGUUCGGAAUUAUUGGGCGUAAAGAGCGUGUAGGCGAUCCGGUAAGUCAGAUGUGAAAGCCCUGGGCUCAACCCAGGAAGUGCAUUUGAAACUACCAGACUUGAGUACGGGAGAGGAGGGGGGAAUUCCCGGUGUAGAGGUGAAAUUCGUAGAUAUCGGGAGGAAUACCAGUGGCGAAGGCGCCCCUCUGGACCGAUACUGACGCUGAGACGCGAAAGCGUGGGGAGCAAACAGGAUUAGAUACCCUGGGUAGUCCACGCCGUAAACGAUGAGCACUAGGUGUAGCGGGUAUUGACCCCCCUGCUGUGCCGUAGCUAACGCAUUAAGUGCUCCGCCUGGGGGACUACGGUCGCAAGACUA
RNAcentral lists this ribosomal RNA (375 nucleotides) under uncultured organism. RNAcentral's name for it is "partial 16S ribosomal RNA". It matches the Rfam family "Bacterial small subunit ribosomal RNA", at positions 527 to 896 of the family's 1533-position model. The record is from RNAcentral.